AAUCAGUGUGUGUGUUAGUGGAAGCGUCUGGAAAGGCGCGCGAUACAGGGUGACAGCCCCGUACACAAAAAUGCACAUAUUGUGAGCUCGAUGAGUAGGGCGGGACACGUGGUAUCCUGUCUGAAUAUGGGGGGCCCAUCCUCCAAGGCUAAAUACUCCUGACUGACCGAUAGUGAACCAGUACCGUGAGGGAAAGGCGAAAAGAACCCCGGCGAGGGGAGUGAAAAAGAACCUGAAACCGUGUACGUACAAGCAGUGGGAGCACGCUUAGGCGUGUGACUGCGUACCUUUUGUAUAAUGGGUCAGCGACUUAUAUUCUGUAGCAAGGUUAACCGAAUAGGGGAGCCGAAGGGAAACCGAGUCUUAACUGGGCGUUAAGUUGCAGGGUAUAGACCCGAAACCCGGUGAUCUAGCCAUGGGCAGGUUGAAGGUUGGGUAACACUAACUGGAGGACCGAACCGACUAAUGUUGAAAAAUUAGCGGAUGACUUGUGGCUGGGGGUGAAAGGCCAAUCAAACCGGGAGAUAGCUGGUUCUCCCCGAAAGCUAUUUAGGUAGCGCCUCGUGAAUUCAUCUCCGGGGGUAGAGCACUGUUUCGGCAAGGGGGUCAUCCCGACUUACCAACCCGAUGCAAACUGCGAAUACCGGAGAAUGUUAUCACGGGAGACACACGGCGGGUGCUAACGUCCGUCGUGAAGAGGGAAACAACCCAGACCGCCAGCUAAGGUCCCAAAGUCAUGGUUAAGUGGGAAACGAUGUGGGAAGGCCCAGACAGCCAGGAUGUUGGCUUAGAAGCAGCCAUCAUUUAAAGAAAGCGUAAUAGCUCACUGGUCGAGUCGGCCUGCGCGGAAGAUGUAACGGGGCUAAACCAU
RNAcentral lists this ribosomal RNA (871 nucleotides) under Shigella sonnei. Its description in RNAcentral is "partial 23S ribosomal RNA". It matches the Rfam family "Bacterial large subunit ribosomal RNA", at positions 315 to 1190 of the family's 2925-position model. The record is from RNAcentral. Lineage: Bacteria; Pseudomonadati; Pseudomonadota; Gammaproteobacteria; Enterobacterales; Enterobacteriaceae.